AGACGAUCAGGAACUCAUCUCUGUGAUAUCACCAUACCUGUACUUCAGGUGAGAGGCGCUCUGGGAGCCAAUGUUAUUGCUGCAGUUACUUCAGCUGCUGCCAUCAUCAUCUACAUCCUGGAAGCCUUUUGGCCACAUUAUGCUUAUCAUUAUUAUGGUAGCUCUUACUUGAACACCAGUACCCCCGACUGGUCAUUCACUCACAACUAUGAAAGGAUGCCAUGUACCAUCACCAAUCAGCAUUACGGAACUGCCUCAGUGACGGCACAGGAUCCUUCCACGUAGACUCUGCCCACAUACCUGAACCCACCCGCAGCAAUGGCUCUGCCCUGCCCUCAUCCAAGCUCUACACAAGUGACUGAUAGUUCCGCUCAAAGGAGUGAUGGGUCAACAUUGUUAGUCAUGUAAUCUUCUUACUAUUGAAUAAAAGUACUCCAGAUUUACCUUUAUGUUGCCGUGACACUUAAGGUGCUUUGCAGCUCUGAAAGAUCC
Long non-coding RNA from Astatotilapia calliptera (eastern happy), 492 nucleotides. NCBI's taxonomy places the organism in Eukaryota, Metazoa, Chordata, Actinopteri, Cichliformes, Cichlidae. The record is from Ensembl.